AGUCUGUUCUUGGACUCGACGAGUUCAUGCCAUGCUCAAACUCAAAUGACCUUCUGAGGUCAGAUCUGUUCCUCCAAUCCAUAGAUCUGGCCUUACCAACCACUAUAAUCACGUAAAGGUCUGACCUUUACACUCAUGCAAUGACCAAAAAGCUUCUUUGGGCAAACUAACCCCUAAAAUGGCAACCUAGGGCCAUAUCUCUAAUGGAGUAGCAAAAAGCAAUGUGAAUGGGACUCUCUGGACCUCUUAAGGUCCAGAUCUAAGAAGAACUCCACCUUGGGACCUCACAUACUUCGAAUCCAACCCAAAGAAUGCACAAGAAAACCCUAGAUUCAAUUAGAACACCAAAGACACGAGUUGGAGCAUAUAUUAGUACCUCUAGCAACCUCCUCUGAUGAAGGGAUGAUAGAUCUGAGCUCCUCAACCUUCCUUUUUCGACCUCCUUCCUUCUUUCUUGCAAAAACACACUUAGAAUGAUGAAAUAGCCCUCCUCUUGCACUACAAGCCUUCUCUCUGCUCUUUAGGGUUUGUCAGGGGUCUGAUAGCCGCAAAUGGUGGAUAAAAGAUCCUUAAAUAGGGCUCAGGCCCCGGAGAAUUAGGGUUUCAUUAAACAGCGUGGACUCGUCGAGUCCACUCAUGGACUCACCGAGUCCGCCAUUGAAUCAGUCCAACCAUACGCGAUCCUACUCGGCGAGUCUGAGCGCCUACUCGCCGAGUCCCUCUCCAAAACUCAAUAUAAAUGCAUAAAAUAAGAUACCUGGGAAUCCGGAUGCUACAAUUCUCCCCCAAUAGAAUCAGACUUCGACCUCGAAGUCUCAUUUCGCAAACAACUCUGGAUGCUGCUCACACAUCUCUCGCUCUGGCUCCCAAGUCAUCUUGGACCCUUUCCGAUGUUGCCACUGGACCUGCACCAGGGGCACUUCNACCUUGACCUUCCGAUCCAUAAUCGCAACCAGUCUCUCAACGUAGUUCAGACUCACAUCCACCUGGAUAUCCUCUAACGAUACCACUGCCGACUCAUCGGCCACAUACUUCCUCAACUGUGAUACGUGGAAGGUGUCAUGAAUNCUAACUCUGCAGGUAGAUCCAACCGGCAUGCUACCCUGCCUACUCUUGCGAUAACCCUGAAUGGACCAAUAUAUUGGGGCCCUAACUUGCCCCUCUUCCUGAAUCGGAUCACUCCUUUCCAAGGAGAUACCUUCAGGAGAACGAAGUCACCAACUUGAAACUCGAGCUCCGAGCGACGCCUAUCCACGUACUGACGACUCUAAGCUGUCAGCAGUCUCUGCCUGACCUGCUGUAUCUGCUCUGUCGUCUGGAGCACUAUCUCUGUACUGCCCAUCAUUCGCCGCCCUACUUCUCCCCAGCAGAUGGGAGUCCAACACUUCCUCCCAUACAACAGCUCAAAAGGUGGCAUACCAAUGCUCGAAUGAUGGCUGUUGUUAUCAGAAAACUCAUCCAAGGGUAAAUACGUGUCCCAGCUCCCUUCGAAAUCCAAUACACAUGACCAAAGCAUGUCCUCGAGCGUCUGAAUCAUCCGCUCGCUUUGUCCGUCAGUCUGUGGGUGGUAUACGGUACUAAAAUGCAGCCUCGUUCCCAACUCCUCAUGAAAUUUCUUCUUGAACCUGGAAGUGAAACGAACAUCUCGAUCUGAGACAAUCGAGAUCGGUACUCCAUGCCGCGAUACAACCUCCCUCACGUACAACUCUGCUAGCCUCUCAGCAAAAGAGCUCUCACUGAUAGCAAGAAAGUGAGCGCUCUUCGUCAACCUGUCCACAAUCACCCAAAUCACAUCGACCCCUCUUGCAGUCCUUGGCAAUUUGGUGAUAAAGUUCAUGGUAAUUUGUUCCCACUUCUACUCGGGAAUCUCCAAAGGCUGCAAUUUACCAUGCGGACGCUGGUGCUUGGCCUUAACCUUGGGACAGGUCAAACACCUCUUUACAAACCAUGCAACAUCCCUCUUCAUACAGGGCCACCAAUACUUCCUCUUCAAAUCUAAAUACAUCUUAGUGGCCCCGGGAUGGAUCGAAAACCUCGAUCGGUGCGCCUCCUCCAUCAGAAUGGUACGUGCCCUGCCCACAAAUGGCACCCAAAUCCGACCCUGAAAGGUCAUAANUCGGCUACAACGUUAGCCUUUCCCGAGUGGUACAGGAUCUCGCAGUCGUAAUCCUUUACCACAUUCGACCACCUUGUCUGUCGCAUAUUCAGGUUGGGCUGAUCCAUCAAGUACUUCAAACUCUUGUGGUCCAUGUAUAUAGUACACCGGACCCCAUAUAAAUAGUGACGCCAGAUCUUGAGGGCGAACACCACAGCCCCCAACUCUAGAUCGUGGGUGGGAUACCUCAUCUCAUGAGGCUUCAGCUGCCUCGAUGCGUAUGCGAUCACAUGCCUUCUCUGCAUCAGCACCGCACCCAAUCCCGAUAUCGACGCAUCACAAUACACCACAAAAUCCUCCAUCCCCUCCAAAAGGGCUAACACCGGAGCUUCGCAUAAUCUCUAGCAAAGAGUCUCGAAUGCGGUCUGCUGCUCCGGACCCCAUGCAAAAGCAACACCCUUCCGGGUCAACAUGGUGAGAGGCACAGCAAUCUUGGAGAAAUCGCUGAUGAAUCUCCUAUUGUAGCAGGCCAACCCUAGGAAACUCCUGAUCUCGGUGGGGGAUCUCGGCACCUCCUAACUCAUCACUGCCUCAAUCUUCGCCGGAUCGACCAAUAUCCCAUUCUGGUUAACGAGGUGUCCUAGGAACUGAACCUCUCGUAACCAGCUAUCGCACUUGGAGAAUUUGGCAUAAAGCCUCUCCGAUCUCAAUACCCUGAGGAUCUCCUUCAAAUGCUCCUCAUGUUGCCCCCUGGAUUUUGAAUACACCAGUAUGUCGUCAAUGAACACGAUCACCGAACGAUCCAACAUCGGUCUGCACACUUUGUUCAUGAGAUCCAUCAAUGCGGCCGGUGCAUUGGUGAGCUCGAAAGGCAUCACCACGAAGUCGUAAUGCCCAUAACGAGUUCUGAAUGUCGUCUUCUGAAUAUCCUUACCUCGCACUCUCACCUGAUGAUAUCCAGACCUCAAAUCGAUCUUGGAGAACCAAGACACUGCCUGUAACUGGUCGAAGAAAUCGUCGAUCCUCGGCAAGGGGUAACAGUUCUUGACCAUCAACUUGUUCAACUCCCGGUAGUCAAUACACAUCCGGUGUGAACCAUCCUUUUUCUUAACAAAAAGGAUCGGAGCUCCCCACGACGAGCUGCUCGGCCGUAUAAACCCCUUCCCCAACAGCUCCUGGAGCUGCAAGGAUAAAUCCUACAUCUCUGGGGGCGCCUUGGCGAUAGGCGCUGCCACCAUAAUCAAAUCAAUGCGGAACUCUACCUGCCUCUCAAGAGGCACACCCGGUAACUCCUCGGGGAAAACAUUUGGGAACUCGCGCACUAUCGGUACCUCAUCGACUGACCUCGGUCUCUCUAAAUCAACUCUCGUAUCCAUCACGUAAGCUACAAACACACUACAGCCCUGCCAUAGACUCUGCCUCACUCUAGCAGCCGAACAAAACGUUGAACCAGUACAGGUACCCUCGCCGUACACCGUAAGAACUCCCCCACUAGGGUCUCGUAUGGUCACCAGCUGUCGCUCACAGUCAAUAAUCNGCCGUAUAAACCCCUUCCCCAACAGCUCCUGGAGCUGCAAGGAUAAAUCCUACAUCUCUGGGGGCGCCUUGGCGAUAGGCGCUGCCACCAUAAUCAAAUCAAUGCGGAACUCUACCUGCCUCUCAAGAGGCACACCCGGUAACUCCUCGGGGAAAACAUUUGGGAACUCGCGCACUAUCGGUACCUCAUCGACUGACCUCGGUCUCUCUAAAUCAACUCUCGUAUCCAUCACGUAAGCUACAAACACACUACAGCCCUGCCAUAGACUCUGCCUCACUCUAGCAGCCGAACAAAACGUUGAACCAGUACAGGUACCCUCGCCGUACACCGUAAGAACUCCCCCACUAGGGUCUCGUAUGGUCACCAGCUGUCGCUCACAGUCAAUAAUCGCUCCGAAUCUGCUCAACCAAUCCAUGCCCACAAUAACACAUACGUCCCCCAUCGCAAUCGGGACCAAAUCAAUAGGAAACACAACGCCGAAGAUCUCGAGUACACAUCCUCGAAUCACCUCAGUGGCAUACACUGCUCUCUCGUCAUCUAAGGAAACUCUCAGAGGUCGACUCAACGCCUCUCGACUAAUACUGAUAUGUUGAAUAAAGGCUAAAGAUACAAAAGACCGACUCGCACACGAGUCAAAUAACACCAAAGCAGGCACAUAACAUACAAGAAAUGUACCUACGCAUAUCAUAAUAUAAGCAUAUCACCAAAAAUUCAAAAUAAACAUGAGAAAGAAUACAUACCAGCCACAACAUCAGGUGCAACGCAGACCUCCUCCGCGGUCAACUGGAAGGCUCUCCCUCAUGCCUUCGGUGCCUCGGCCUUCACCGGCCAGCUUUCUGUAGCUCUAAUAGCAGUAGGGGUAGAUCCCUGAGAUGCUCCCUGCGCUGACCCCCACAGCUGCGGACACUCUGCCUUCCGGUGUCCGGUCUGGUUGUAGUGUAAAGAUAUUGCGAACCCCUUGGGGCAAUCCUUGGCGAUAUGCCCCUCCUUGCCACACUUGAAGCAAGACCCUGCUCUGCAAACCCCAUCGUGACCCUUGCUGCACUUGCCACAAGUGCGGCUCUUCUGGCUCCCUGAUCUGGAAUCAGCGGGCUUGGCCCGCUUGGCUGCUGGCUGGGGCUGUGCCGGUCGUCGAUCCCUCCCUUGAGACUCCGCCACCUCCCUGGCCUGAGUCUCCAGCUCUAUCUCCCUCUUCCGAGCAUUUUCCUAAAGCUCGGAAAAUGUCCGGUACGAGGAGUUCGCCACGAACUCCCGCAUAUCCCUCCUCAAAAUACUCAGAUACCGACUCAUACGUGCCUGCUCGGAAGACACGUGCUUCGGGUAGAACAUCGCCCUCUCGUGGAACAUCCUGGUGAUCACAUUAACAGACUCAGUACCCUGCUUGAGGGUCAGAAACUCCUAUGCCAAACGCUCCCUCUCCACCGGGGGAAUGUACUCAGCACGGAACAUAGCGGUGAACCUCUCCCAGGUCACCGCAACAAGCUCAGUAAGCGAACAGUGUGUCGUCACAAACUUCCACCAGUCCUUCGCUCCCAAGCGAAGCUGGUUCAACGCGAGCCAAACCCUCAAAUGUUUUGGACAUGAGCAUGUGAAGAAACACCCCUCAAUGUCUGAAAUCCACCUCAUCUCCGCAAUCGGAUCUUGCGUCCCAUCAAACUCUGGUGGUUUUGUGUUGCUGAACUCCCGGAACAGCAACGCAUCACCACCCUGAGGUCUAGCCGCAGCUACAGCUGCAGUGGCUGCAGCAACAUCAACAUCAGAAAGAGCAGCAUAUCUCUCGUUGAAGGUCUCUAUCAACGUGAUCUUGAUAGACCCAAACAUCUCUGGUAUCUCUGCCCUGAUGGCCGCAGCUACCUCUUCGUGAAUGAUCCUACGAAUCUCCUCAUCACUAGCACCACUGCUCUCUGGUGUAAGGCGUGUCCUGACCAUGAUGUCUCUGAAAUACAACAUAAGAAAAUAUCAGGGACUCGUUCGAGUACACUCACACUCGAUAACUCUACCUUACUUGAUCUAUGAUGCUCCAUGGAUUCUUACUUGGAGUGUGCACCGCUCCAGUGUCUUCAGUAGUACGGGCCCAAUACUACUGUCCACACAGCAUCAGUAUACACCCCAAGUCCUCCUCCAAGGAUCUCAGAUUCCAAGUACUCCACUCUCACUAAGCAUAGUCUACUCUCCAACAAAUCUCUCAUAAACCUCUCGUUGCUAUCUACCUCCUCUCAAGCAUCUCCUAGUAGCAACCCCUAGGCUAAGGCAUCACAAAUCAGGCCACUCUAAUACUAAUAGAAUACCUAGCCUACUCUAGCAUGCAAAACAUAUCAUAUCGUCUCAUAACAUUUAACAUAAGAGUAUUUUGGGAAAUCACCGUUCGGGUGCUGGCUGAUCGUACACACGGCUCUGCUAUGCUCUUUUUUAAAUUCUUUUACUCUUUUAGAAAACUUUAUCUUACUUUUUGAAAAAUAUCUCUCAAAUCCUUGGUUUGAGUUCAGAUACGCCCGAAGGUGUACCUGAAUCCCUCAAACCAAGGCUCUGAUACCAACUUGUAACGCCAUAAAAUUUCAAACAAAUUUUCACAUUUUAAAAACAAUUCAAUUCACAAUAUUAUAAAACACAUUGUUCUUAUAUUCCACAUAAGUCAAAAGACCAAGAUCAUAAUAUAUCAAUAAAACUUCACGCGUGUGUGUGUACUGAUCAUGCCGGCGCCUUCCAGCGAUCCUCACUAGUACCUGAAACACAUAACACCAAACACUGUAAGCAUGAAGCAUAGUGAGUUCCCCAAAAUAUCACACAUAACACAUACUAGCCACUCGAGGCUAUAACUCUACGGGCCCUUGGGCCUUAGCUCUGUGGACCCUGUGGUCCUAGCUCUGUGAACCUUUCGGUUCUAACUCUGAUAUACACACGACAUAAAUCACAUAGAAAUAAUGCAGUGCAAAACAUCACAUAAAUAGCAUACAAUAGCUCUGUCACAUAACUCUAAUUACCACUCAAGUUAAAGUAUAGUGAGAAGACUCACCUCGGAUGUCUCGAUAAUAUCUCGCUUGCGUAACACUGAUCUAGCCUCUGCCUAAACACAUAAACGAUCAUCUCAAUUAAUAACGGCUCUCCAGGCUAGACUAAAUCCUCACACGUCCUCUAAGAAGGCUAAAAUACCAUUUUACCCUUCAAGCAGUUCACAAGACCAAUUGCUGACCAUACCCUUAAAAUCAACAAAAGUCAACGGUCAACCCUUUGACCAGACUCGCCGGGUGCAAUUGUGACUCGGCGAGUUCAGUCAUGAACUCAAGUCCUCAAAAUCCCCAACGACUCACCGAGUCACUUUCCCAACUCAGCGAGUCACCAACUGUGUGAUUCAUGGGGGAAAACGAUCCUACUCGUUGAGUCUGUUCUUGGACUCGACGAGUUCAUGCCAUGCUCAAACUCAAAUGACCUUCUGAGGUCAGAUCUGUUCCUCCAAUCCAUAGAUCUGGCCUUACCAACCACUAUAAUCACGUAAAGGUCUGACCUUUACACUCAUGCAAUGACCAAAAAGCUUCUUUGGGCGAACUAACCCCUAAAAUGGCAACCUAGGGCCAUAUCUCUAAUGGAGUAGCAAAAAGCAAUGUGAAUGGGACUCUCUGGACCUCUUAAGGUCCAAAUCUAAGAAGAAAUCUACCUUGGGACCUCACAUACUUCGAAUCCAACCCAAAGAAUGCACAAGAAAACCCUAUAUUCAACUAGAACACCAAAUACAUGAGUUGGAGCAGAGAUUAGUACCUCUAACAGCCUCUUCUGAUGAAUGGAUGAUAGAUCUGAGCUCCUCAACCUUCCUUGUUUGACCUCCUUCCUUCUUUCUGUCAAAAACACACUUAGA
Molecule: long non-coding RNA, 7482 nt
Filed under: Lactuca sativa (garden lettuce)
Lineage: Eukaryota; Viridiplantae; Streptophyta; Magnoliopsida; Asterales; Asteraceae
Description: long non-coding RNA (LSAT_LNC004889)
Source: RNAcentral